Molecule: transfer RNA, 75 nt
Filed under: Bacillus spizizenii
Lineage: Bacteria; Bacillati; Bacillota; Bacilli; Caryophanales; Bacillaceae
Also listed under: 1 other name
Description: tRNA-Gly
Rfam family: tRNA
About the family: Transfer RNA (tRNA) molecules are approximately 80 nucleotides in length. Their secondary structure includes four short double-helical elements and three loops (D, anti-codon, and T loops).
Source: RNAcentral
GCGGAAGUAGUUCAGUGGUAGAACACCACCUUGCCAAGUUGGGGGUCGCGGGUUCGAAUCCCGUCUUCCGCUCCA